Molecule: ribosomal RNA, 781 nt
Filed under: Staphylococcus sp. SI-blr-2B
Lineage: Bacteria; Bacillati; Bacillota; Bacilli; Caryophanales; Staphylococcaceae
Description: bacterial SSU rRNA
Rfam family: Bacterial small subunit ribosomal RNA
Source: RNAcentral
CGGCGUUCCUUAUUCUUGCUAGUCGAGCGAACAGAUGAGAAGCUUGCUUCUCUGAUGUUAGCGGCGGACGGGUGAGUAACACGUGGGUAACCUACCUAUAAGACUGGGAUAACUCCGGGAAACCGGGGCUAAUACCGGAUAAUAUUUUGAACCGCAUGGUUCAAUAGUGAAAGACGGUUUCGGCUGUCACUUAUAGAUGGACCCGCGCCGUAUUAGCUAGUUGGUAAGGUAAUGGCUUACCAAGGCGACGAUACGUAGCCGACCUGAGAGGGUGAUCGGCCACACUGGAACUGAGACACGGUCCAGACUCCUACGGGAGGCAGCAGUAGGGAAUCUUCCGCAAUGGGCGAAAGCCUGACGGAGCAACGCCGCGUGAGUGAUGAAGGUCUUCGGAUCGUAAAACUCUGUUGUUAGGGAAGAACAAAUUUGUUAGUAACUGAACAAGUCUUGACGGUACCUAACCAGAAAGCCACGGCUAACUACGUGCCAGCAGCCGCGGUAAUACGUAGGUGGCAAGCGUUAUCCGGAAUUAUUGGGCGUAAAGCGCGCGUAGGCGGUUUCUUAAGUCUGAUGUGAAAGCCCACGGCUCAACCGUGGAGGGUCAUUGGAAACUGGGAAACUUGAGUGCAGAAGAGGAGAGUGGAAUUCCAUGUGUAGCGGUGAAAUGCGCAAAGAUAUGGAGGAACACCAGUGGCGAAGGCGGCUCUCUGGUCUGUAACUGACGCUGAUGUGCGAAAGCGUGGGGAUCAAACAGGAUUAUAUACCCUGGUAGUCCACGCCG